Molecule: non-coding RNA, 1990 nt
Organism: Rattus norvegicus (Norway rat)
Lineage: Eukaryota; Metazoa; Chordata; Mammalia; Rodentia; Muridae
Source: RefSeq, a predicted model, not a curated record
AUGGAGCCUUCCCUGAAGUAUGGUUGAUGUACCCCAGGAUACUCCAUGGGAGAAAACUGAUUUCCCUUUCCCAGCAGGUAUCAAUUACGAAUAGCUUCUUGGUUAGUGGGUAGGACUUAUGCUCACACUCUCAGCGCUGACAUCGUCUGGUGUGAACUAGUUCAGGUCAGGCUCUGUGAGUUUAUUUGUGUUUCGCUCCUGUCAGGCCUAGAAGAUGCUGCUUCCUUAGCGUCAGCAACCACCUCUGGCUUUUACAAUCUUCCUGCUUCCUCUCGCACAUAAACAGAUCCCUGAUCUUCCAGGGGAGGGUUUGAUAUCUCACUUUGGACCGAAUCUCUCUCUGCACACUGUCCUGUGGUGGGUCUUUGCAUCUACAGAGUUAAUGUAAAGGAAUCUUUUCUGAUGAGGGUUGAGUGAGGUACUGAUCCAUGGUCUAGUAGCAUGUCAUUGGGAGUGCUUUUAUUGCUUUGUCCCUUUAGAAUAGUAACAGUGGUGGGUUUUCCCCUAGGGCCCAUGACCUACCUAGUCUCAGGCUCUCGAUCACUUUAGCAGUUUUGUGUAUGGGUUCUAUGCCAUGGAGUGAGCCUCAAACCUGAUUUUAAUCAAUACAACUUAUGCUUGAAAAUACACUUCAUGUGCUUUGUUUCCUCAACAGCCAACAGUAUUGGCUAUCUAUUGUAUGGCACAGAAUAUUUAGCUGCAUCCUUGACUUUCUACCAGCUAAGUGUCAGUCCCACCUCCCACUGGAUGCACUGGAUGCCAACAGUAGCCUUCUACCUCAGUGUGCGGCUAAACAUAUUUUAAGCAUUGCAAAUGUAACCUAAAGGGGGAAACUGCUUAAGAACCACCAUUCUGGCCUGAUACCUAUUUGCUAGUAGUGGUGGUAUCAUUAGAAAAAUUGGGAGAGUGAUUUCCUCUUAAUCCCCCUACCCUGACCUUUUCUUCAAGACAGAGUUUCUUUAUGUAAUCCUGGCUAUCCUGGAACUUGAUUUGUAGAUCAGAUUGUCCCUGGAACUCAGAGAUCUGCCUGACUCUGCCUCCCAAGUGCUGGGAUUAAAGGUGUGCGCCACCAUGGUCAGCUUGAAGGAUUUUCUUAAACCCUUGUCUUUAUUUUUCUGCAACCAUGGUGUAAAUUGUGUAUAUGAUAGUGUAACCGUGGUAUGUACACUCUGAAGAGAUAUGAAUACAUAUCUACUCACUGGACACAGGGAACUAAUGGCAGACCAAAGUAAGGAUCCCAAUGCAGUGUGGCUUAUUAAAUCAAUGAGCCUAUUGGCCUUACUUGCAGGAGGAUGGGGUUACUGACCCCCAAACAGCCACAUUGCUUAAGUCAACUCUGUCAUAGCUGCCUAGGUAGUGUGCACUCUUCAGGAACUAACUGGUCUACCAGCUAUGUUAGCAAGUACUAAAACCACAUGAGGUUGGGGCAGAAUUACAUACAGAUGGGAGUAGGGUGUGGAAAGUGGGUUAUGAUCUUUAGUUGACGGUCUAUGACUCUUCAAGUUCCUAUUCUAUGCUGGGAUGUCAACAAAGGGGUUCUGGUGAAGAGAGUGGUGUCUGCUAAUGUUGAGUUCACAAUGCCUUCUUGGCAAUAGCACACACGUUACAUUUUUGGACUGCCUUAUGUCUGUCUUGCAUUACCUGCAGGGACGCAAAUAUGGUAAACAUGAUGUGGUUAUGUGUGUAGGGUGGGCACUCACAGUAUUCAUAAUGGUCUCAGUUUUAACGGCAAAUUAGUGGAUUGUUCUGAAUUUUGACAGACUUAGACUGCGAUGUCUCCAUAUGAAAUUAUGUCUGGUUUUCUACAUUAUCUUAGAUAUGCCACUUGACAAAAAGUUACACACACCUGGAUUCUGAAGUCUCUUUCAGGCAUUGCUACGGGAGCAGCUUGAUUCCAUCACCACCCUAGAGAAGAACUUAAGAGACAUUUUCAGCAAUGACCACCACCCUUGGAAAACAUUUGGAAAAUAAAAUUAUUAGUGGAGCUAAA